AAUCCUUGUCCCAGGAGACUAUUCCUUCCUCGUGUGAGUCUCAAUAGUGAUGUCAUAGUCUCUGUGACUCACCUCUCCCAGGAGGCUUUAGUGUGUUAGUAAUAACACUCAUUAGCGUUCACCUGGGGUUUUAUAAGCAGGAGGUGACAGUGACUGGCAACCAUCUUCUGAGGUUUGGGAAAGGCCAGGAUUAUGACGUCCAUUUUGCCAAGAGGAAACAAAAAACAGACAAGCAGGUCAGCGCGAGAACGAAUGCCAGGAACAUCCAGAGUGCGCCAAGAAUAGACUGAGGGCUGGGGGUCGAUUUGGGAGAAGCAGCCAGGGUUUCUUCUUCAUGAAUAUGUUUCAUCGCAGAGUUCCAUUGGAUUGGAGAAAUUACAACUCCGAUGAUAGGCUCCGUGGUUGGUUGGGGUCCUGACAUCACCUAUCCCCGUGCCGUGAAGGUUUCGGGUCUUGUUCUCAUUUGACUUUACGCCGAGAGCCAAGUCUUAGCCAGAGCAGGAUAUAUAUUUUUAAAAAAUAAAAAUAAAAAAUAAAAACCCAUCUGCCCAGCUUUCCUUUAAAGCAGUCGUUCUCAAACUGCUCAAUACCAGAAGGGUCAGGAGCGCUUGUCGAAACACAGAAUGCUGAACUCCACUCCAGAGGUCCUGACUCGGCAUUUCUAACGAAUUCCCACCUGGUGUUGAUGCUGCUGGUCCGGGGACCACACUUGAAGAACUGCUAGUCUCAAUGAUUUAAGCUGGCUCCUGGAUACGGUGACCUCCUCCCAAGUCCGAGGAGCUGGCUCUUUGGCCCGGCUGUGCCACAGCCCGGCUCCGUCCACCCUCACGCCAGGACUGCUCCGUCUCUGCUUUGCGGUCUGCGUAGGCACACGGGGACAUUGCGGCCCGUGUCAAAAGGCCACGAGGCCCUGAAAGUUACUGUAGCAGAAUCGGAAACCUUACCAGGGUCCCUGCUAGCUUUUAGGAGAAGCACUUGAAGCUUCAGGGAAGAGACGUUUACAUCCUGGGAAAACCCCGGCUCCAGCAGCCAAGCUUUGAACAGGAGGCAACAGCCGGGUGUCUCCCCCCCCCCCCUCCAAAGGCCAUGGGACUCCCGGCCGUCAUCUGUGAGGGGCUCCGUGUACUCUCCACACUGCCUGGUCUGUGCCUCAGCCCACAAUCUCUUUCUUUCUUGAGCCUUACAGGAGAAGGUGAGAAGGGCUAAGGUAUGCGUUCCCUGUCACAAUUAAAAUAAAGUCCAAACUCCUGACCGUGGCCUGCCUGGCGCUCAGACCUCCUCUCCCUGCUCUCCAGCUCGUCAGCUCCACUCUGACCCUCUGGCCUCCCCGCUGUCCCUCCAACACCAAUCUUUUUCCGUCCUGAAUCUCUGCGUUCCCGCUGUCUGCUAAGCCAAGGAUCCAGAUGGGACACGAGACCGGUGGUUCAGGCGGCCCCUCUCCAGAGAGAGCUUCCUGUUCCCCUUCCAUAAGGCAGCCCCACUUCCCACCCAUUCCUUCUGUCCCUAUCUUCAGAGGACUCGUCACCAUCUGACACCAUCUCCAGGGUGGAAGUUCCACGAAGGCCACAACCUCGUCUGCCUUUCCCAGCCGUGUCCCCAGCACCUGGACCGUGCCUGGCACAUCAUACGGGUUCAAUAAAGAUUUAUGGAAUGAAUCUGUGGCCUCUGCCAGAUAUACUACGAGAGGCAAGGUCUAGAAUCCUUAAGCGACAUACCCCAGACCUUGAUUCUAAAGUCCAGAGUCUGGCUCCGGGUUUACUGCCUCACAGCUUGUUCAGAUGGGAAGAACCGGGAUCACAGAUGUCACCGCUACUGUCACUCUGGACAAAGCCCUCAACUUGUGUUGCCCUGACCUGCCUCACCUACCAAAUGGCUGGAUAACAUCGGUGUCGCCUGCCCCCAAGACUGUGUCAAGGCUCAGAUGAGGCCUGUUUCUGCACCCUGAGUACCUGUAAAACACCGGGAACACCUCCUAAUGAGUCACUUUCACUGGAAUAUUCCGUCACGAUCUGCUUCUGGGGAACCUAGCUUAAAACCGGAACAUGUUGAUUUCUUGACCGCGGCUCGUUUUCCCUGUCAUUCCGACUCUUUUUCCUGCGUCAGCAAAGACUCUUUAAUAGAAUACAGCCACAGAUACAGCAACAAGCACUCUUCCCAUUGGAUGAGAAGCAAUGGAAGACAAGGAGCCAUCAAGGCUUUACAUCUGUUGGGGCAGAAUGUAGAAUUUUGGCUUUGAAUUUUCUUGAGAAAAGACAGGGCAACAAGGCAAGCUUCUAACUCUUGUGCCCAUGAGUGUGUGGCCCUACUUACAGGCUCCCCACUUGGGGGCUCUCUUCAGAUAAACCUCUGCAGGAGCCAGAGUGGAGACCAGUGGUCCCUGAACGACUGGCACACACAGGCUGGACCACGUCACCUCCCCCAUUUAGAGCAAGGGGACCUUGUAGCAAAGUGGUGGGGGUGGGUGGGUAGGCUGAGUCCACGUGAUGAGUGAGUGGCCAUGUGUCCUCAAAAAGACUUUUAAAGAGUCAGUUCUCCAUUCCCUGGGGCUUUCUCAUCCCAAGACUUCCCAUCUUUGGAGAUCAAGUUCAGAUGUCGGGGGUGGGGAGGCAUCCCUCUUUCCGUCCAAGGGUUUCAGGCAGAAAAAAAUGGAAUGGCAUUUAAUAACUUCCCUCACUGCACUAUAAAGACAAUGGCAGGGUUAGGUGUUCCUGAGCUCUCUGGGAUUUUAUUAGUUUGUUAUACUUCAAAGGGCUCUGGUGGUGCUGCCAUAACCUACUUCGGAGGAAAACAUUUAUUAUUAACAUUGGUUUAACACUUAACUUUCUAGGGUAUUUGUGGAUGGCACAGUCAUACAUCUGCCUUUUUAUAGUGCUUCGCAGCAGAGCACAAGACCUCUGGCUGACACCUCAUACAUCAUCAAAAUUAAGACCUCUAGGCAAACAGGGUAAAGUAGGGCGGGGGUGGGAUGGGACAGCAACUUGGGAUGACUCAAAUGGUUUCCCAGUUAACUUUCCUUUAGAGAGAGACUGUUUCCAUUAAGGAGCAAAUUAUUCUUCACUUUAAGACACCCUUGUUUCCUUGGCAACCCACAACAACUUGAAAGGAAGGGUCCACCGUGGCCCUACAGCCAAGUGAUGCCUCCUACCUGGCUGGCAGCUGGUGGAGAUUAACCCAGACGUGGGGUCAGCCAGCCAGGGAUCAACCCCCCACCUCCUUGGCAUUCGACCCCCUGGCUCUCCUGUGCUAAGGCCAGAAGAAAUCUGGAAAGCAGCAGGUCAGGAUGACAGCAAGCUCUCCAUCUUUUAUAACCAUAAACUGUAUCCGCAUCAUGUCAGAAUCCUUGCUGGAGACUCAGAAAAUGAUGGCAGAAAACUAUCAACAAAAGAAGAGAACGACUCAUUUCUUUUUUCCUGACUCCCCUUCUUGGUCCAGCACUGGCUGACGUUUGGUCAUCGCUCUGGCCUGUCUAUAAAAACACAAGGGACCAUAACUGUAUGGUUUCAUAUGCUCUCACGCCCACGAGCCUUUCUCACUCAAAUUCGGCAAAUGGGGCGAGCAAGGAGCGAGGCGUUUUCGGGGGUUCUUUAGUAGAGAUCAUGUUGGCCCAACUUGACGAGGGUCAUAAACUCUACUUUGUACAAAGGAUCCUGAUCUUUAUUUUGAGAGGAACGACAAUUAUAGUCCCUGAGACCUGAGACCAACAGCAUUUUUGAGGAGGGAAAAGAAAAGAACCGUGAAGACGAAGAUGUGCUGAGAAGUGGGCAAGCACCCCCAAAUGGCCGUUUGGGGGAAUUCUCGCCUGAGGCGACAUGAGACCUUGCGUCUUUCCCACUGGCGAAGCGGCCGCUGUUUGCUCCGAGCUGUCAAGAGUCAACCGUGUGGAGUAUGGAACGUGACGCCAGUCCAUCUGCUGGGGGCCUUGUCUUCUUUUGUCAAUGGUGUGACAUCAGCAGCGCCGCUUGGCAUUUGCACCGCGCAUCGAAUCCGUGCCUGUUGGUUUCCAAACAUCGUGUCCGGAGAGAACUAGAGUGUAUUACAGCGCAAACAAGGAAUCAGGGGACGGGAGAGGACUCGGCCCCACGCGGGCGCUGCUCCAUACAAGCGUCCAAAAGGCACUGUGGGACAGAAGAUGGGAAGAGCGGAGAAAGCCUUCGGCGUUCUGGAAAGAGGAACAACACCAGCAUGGGGAAGCGCGGCUGGUCGGUCAGGAUGACGAAAGCAGUUGCGUUAAGUCACAGCUUCCCUGCACGGGUGUUCUUUCUCCAAGUCUGGAUGUCCAAUCGGUACUGGUCAGGACCCCCAGUUGUGGUACACUUGUUCUUAACUCCUGAACGACGGGACACAGUCUGCAGGAACACGUAUUAAUACAAACUGUGUAUUUAAUGCACAUGACACAGAAUUCUUUGUGGUGUCGGAUCCGGGGUUUUCAUGCCGAGAGAGGGAAGACACAGCUACAUUUGACAUCGCUCUUGUUUGGAUGGCUAAUCAGAGAGCACACACUACUCUAGAGGAAAGGUAAGUCGUUUUGUUGGCCAAAAAAUGGCUGAACAGGGGUGCAGGCACCUGAGAGGCUCAGUCCGUCAAGUGUCCAACUUCGGCUCAGGUCAUGAUCUUGUGGUUCAUGGGUUUGAGCCCUGC
Long non-coding RNA from Felis catus (domestic cat), 4638 nucleotides. RefSeq lists it as uncharacterized. The record is from RefSeq and is a predicted model, not a curated record. The transcript is spliced from 3 exons. Lineage: Eukaryota; Metazoa; Chordata; Mammalia; Carnivora; Felidae.